Molecule: ribosomal RNA, 253 nt
Filed under: uncultured bacterium
Lineage: Bacteria
Description: partial 16S ribosomal RNA
Rfam family: Bacterial small subunit ribosomal RNA
Source: RNAcentral
UACGAAGGGUGCGAGCGUUAAUCGGAAUUACUGGGCGUAAAGCGCGUGUAGGCGGUUGGUUAAGUCAGAUGUGAAAGCCCCGGGCUCAACCUGGGAACGGCAUUUGAUACUGGCUGACUAGAAUGUGGUAGAGGGAGGCGGAAUUCCCGGUGUAGCGGUGAAAUGCGUAGAGAUCGGGAAGAACACCAAUGGCGAAGGCAGCCUCCUGGGCCAACAUUGACGCUGAGACGCGAAAGCGUGGGGAGCAAACAGG